This 1346-nucleotide ribosomal RNA is filed under the name uncultured bacterium. RNAcentral describes it as "partial 16S ribosomal RNA". It matches the Rfam family "Bacterial small subunit ribosomal RNA", at positions 28 to 1381 of the family's 1533-position model. The record is from RNAcentral.
GACGAACGCUGGCGGCGUGCUUAACACAUGCAAGUCGAACGGAAAGGCCCUGCUUUUGUGGGGUGCUCGAGUGGCGAACGGGUGAGUAACACGUGAGUAACCUGCCCUUGACUUUGGGAUAACUUCAGGAAACUGGGGCUAAUACCGGAUAGGAGCUCCUGCUGCAUGGUGGGGGUUGGAAAGUUUCGGCGGUUGGGGAUGGACUCGCGGCUUAUCAGCUUGUUGGUGGGGUAGUGGCUUACCAAGGCUUUGACGGGUAGCCGGCCUGAGAGGGUGACCGGCCACAUUGGGACUGAGAUACGGCCCAGACUCCUACGGGAGGCAGCAGUGGGGAAUAUUGCACAAUGGGCGGAAGCCUGAUGCAGCAACGCCGCGUGCGGGAUGACGGCCUUCGGGUUGUAAACCGCUUUCGCCUGUGACGAAGCGUGAGUGACGGUAAUGGGUAAAGAAGCACCGGCUAACUACGUGCCAGCAGCCGCGGUGAUACGUAGGGUGCGAGCGUUGUCCGGAUUUAUUGGGCGUAAAGGGCUCGUAGGUGGUUGAUCGCGUCGGAAGUGUAAUCUUGGGGCUUAACCCUGAGCGUGCUUUCGAUACGGGUUGACUUGAGGAAGGUAGGGGAGAAUGGAAUUCCUGGUGGAGCGGUGGAAUGCGCAGAUAUCAGGAGGAACACCAGUGGCGAAGGCGGUUCUCUGGGCCUUUCCUGACGCUGAGGAGCGAAAGCGUGGGGAGCGAACAGGCUUAGAUACCCUGGUAGUCCACGCUGUAAACGGUGGGUACUAGGUGUGGGGUCCAUUCCACGGGUUCCGUGCCGUAGCUAACGCUUUAAGUACCCCGCCUGGGGAGUACGGCCGCAAGGCUAAAACUCAAAGGAAUUGACGGGGCCCCGCACAAGCGGCGGAGCAUGCGGAUUAAUUCGAUGCAACGCGUAGAACCUUACCUGGGUUUGACAUGGGUCGGGAGUGCUCAGAGAUGGGUGUGCCUCUUUUGGGGUCGGUUCACAGGUGGUGCAUGGCUGUCGUCAGCUCGUGUCGUGAGAUGUUGGGUUAAGUCCCGCAACGAGCGCAACCCUUGUUCACUGUUGCCAGCACGUUAUGGUGGGGACUCAGUGGAGACCGCCGGGGUCAACUCGGAGGAAGGUGGGGAUGACGUCAAGUCAUCAUGCCCCUUAUGUCCAGGGCUUCACGCAUGCUACAAUGGCUGGUACAGAGAGUGGCGAGCCUGUGAGGGUGAGCGAAUCUCGGAAAGCCGGUCUCAGUUCGGAUUGGGGUCUGCAACUCGACCUCAUGAAGUCGGAGUCGCUAGUAAUCGCAGAUCAGCAACGCUGCGGUGAAUACGUUCCCGGAGCU